CAAACUCCUCCUACAGGAGAACAAAGCGGAAAUAUGCGACGUAAGACCUGUCAUUUGCGUGAGGAACGGGACAGAGACCGCUCCACAGUCUCGUCCUACAUCCGCUAGACACGGACUUCAACAAGACCGAUCACAUUCAGAGAGACUUUUAGACCUCUCAUGUGUUGUCCCAGAUGUGUUGCCAAGAGGAAGUGUUUUGCCCCUGUGGCGCUGUACAAGCCUUUGGGGAGCAGGAUGCCUGGGUGAGGAGUAUAUCCCAGUUCCAGACUCACCAGAACGGGGGAAGGGAGCUGGCCAGUCUUAGGGAGUUGGGGCUCUCAGACCUGGAGAUAGAACUGUGGUUCCCCAGGAACCAGCCUUAAAACACUGAGAUGGUGAAUGUUAUUUAUUUAUGCCAUUUACUACCAGGGACAGUACAUUUGGACAGCCGCAUAGAAGGAAGAAUAAGUCAAAAUAGUGAAGAGAAGGUGAUUUGUUGCUCCCCAGACAGUGGGCAAACUGGUUGAAAUGUCUUUACAACCAGAUUGUAAUAAUGUCAUUUUAACUAGUUUUGCCCACUGUUUUUGCCAGCUGCUGGAUAUACUGCUGGAUGUAACGACGAGAUGUUUUAUGAAUAGAGACAAUGUGUGUGGUUGUGGUUAUCAAUUACACCUCCUGAGAAGGAAUAAAUGUUAGUGAUAUUGACUGAUCAACUAUGAGUGUGUUGUCAGACAUGAAAAACAUCCUGGUGGUGUAGCCUGUUGAUUCUUUGACUCAGGCAUCUAUCCAAACUGAAAGAGAUCAGGGUGUAACUUUCCUCAACUCUAUUUACUUCAAUACUCACUGAUAAAAGGAUGCUAUUAUUAUUCCACCUGUAUUACUGGUUGGACUCAUUGAACAGUAUGGUCAAGUAGGCAGCUGUGUGUGUGUGUGUGAUUCAGGGCUGUGGGGUGUGUGCUUCAGGCAGCCACGUUGUGUGUUCUGCCCUACAGGGUCAUGGGGUGGGUGCGUGUGCCCCCGGGGUGCGGCAGCAGCGUCUGCAGGUGAUCCAGGACAAGAUGGCGGCUCGGGCAGAGCUCCACAUUGCUUCUCAGCCAGCUGACCCCUGUCCCGCAGAGAGAUGGUCGAGUAGUCCCUGUUCCAUGGUAAUGACCACCCGGGCUUCCUCACUGCACUCUAUCACCAAGGUGGGGUGAUGUUAUACAAUGCUAAGUGUCUGGUCGUUCACACUGCAACUUCCAUAGACCAAGAGGUUAGAAAGCCUGAACGAGUUAGAACGAAAAGGAGUUUUGUAGGAGUUUGAACAAGUCCUAUGUGUGUUGGAAGUGUCUUUGAAAAGACACAAUAGGAGUUGGGUGCUGGGCUUGAACCGGAAAAUAUAAUAUUUUAAGAUGUUUUAUUAUUAAUGACCUUGGCAUCACUGUUUUUUUUGUGUGUAUGUUGAGUAUUUUGUGCUGUUGGUGACUGUCAUGUAUUGAAAAAAUAAAGUAAAAUGUUUAAAAGAAAUAAAGGAAUUCAGCUGUC
This is a long non-coding RNA of Oncorhynchus masou masou (cherry salmon), 1503 nucleotides long. RefSeq lists it as uncharacterized. The record is from RefSeq and is a predicted model, not a curated record. NCBI's taxonomy places the organism in Eukaryota, Metazoa, Chordata, Actinopteri, Salmoniformes, Salmonidae. The transcript is spliced from 3 exons.